AACGAACGCUGGCGGUAGGUCUAACACAUGCAAGUCGAGCGAUACCUGCCAGACUAGCGGCGAACGAGCGAGCAAUGUGUGGGAACGCGCCCUUUUCUCCGCAACAGCCGCGCGAAACUGAGCGUAAUACCGCAUACGCCCGUCUGGGGAACGAUUUAUCGGUAUAGGAUCGGCCCGCGUUGGACUAGGUAGUUGGUGGGGUAAUGGCCUACCAAGCCUACGCUCCCUAGCUGGUUUGAGAGGAUGAUCACCCACACUGGGACUGAGACACGGCCCAGACUCCUACGGGAGGCAGCGGUGGGGAGUCGUAGACACUGCGGGCAACCCUGAUCUAGCCAUGCCGCGUGAGUGAUGAAGGCCUUAGGGUUGUAAACCUCUUUCAGCUGGGAAGCUAAUGGCGGUACCAGCAGAAGAAGCCCCGGCUAACUCCGUG
RNAcentral lists this ribosomal RNA (433 nucleotides) under uncultured bacterium. RNAcentral describes it as "partial 16S ribosomal RNA". It matches the Rfam family "Bacterial small subunit ribosomal RNA", at positions 29 to 507 of the family's 1533-position model. The record is from RNAcentral.